GGCAGAUAUUUACGUCACAACAAGAUCAAAGUGAUUCACGACGGAGCCUUCCAACACCUGGAUAAGCUGUUAGACCUAGAGCUCAACUACAACAGAAUCGAGCACCUCCACGCCAGCACCUUCAAGGGCCUCAUAUCUCUGGUCAACCUGAAUUUGGAGGGCAAUCCGCUGGUCGUGGUAGCGGCACUUACCCUCAUACAACUUCCAAAUGGACUCUCUG
Homarus americanus (American lobster) is the source of this 220-nucleotide long non-coding RNA. RefSeq lists it as uncharacterized. The record is from RefSeq and is a predicted model, not a curated record. Lineage: Eukaryota; Metazoa; Arthropoda; Malacostraca; Decapoda; Nephropidae. The transcript is spliced from 3 exons.